UUGCAGGCUACAUUCACUGACAUUCUGAAACAACUUGCUGGGCGAUUUAAAAUGGAUCUCACCCUGAGAAAGUCUUCGAUAAAGCUCAUGAUCCAGGCUGAACUGACCAAACUAGCUGAUGAGGCAGAUGAUGAAGAAGAUGAAGGCGAAGCUGAGAAAGAUGAGACUCAACCUGGUCAAGGUGUGGAGGCCUGACUGCUGGGGUGGAAUGGCCUGACUGCUGAGGUGGAACAUGCCUAGAGAAAAAGCUAUUCAUUAGCUUCACAAAUCCUUUUUCUUUUUUUCCUUUUUUUUUUUUUUUUCCAGAAUUUUAUUCUAUUGUGCAACCUUGUCAUGUUUUUUCCGACUCUUAAUACAGCCGGCUGUAAUUUAUUGUUCCUAGUUUGUUACUAGAAAUUAGUAGAGUACUUAGGGCUGCUUAACUUAUGCUACAAUAGCCAGUUAUUUUGUACACAAAACAAAAGUUUGUAGGAAUUCGCCUGUGGUUAAUUUGAACUUUUUGUUGACAAUGAGAAAAAUAUUCUGGUUGACUGUGAGA
Molecule: non-coding RNA, 538 nt
Organism: Camellia sinensis
Lineage: Eukaryota; Viridiplantae; Streptophyta; Magnoliopsida; Ericales; Theaceae
Source: RefSeq, a predicted model, not a curated record